Long non-coding RNA from Carassius gibelio (silver crucian carp), 4559 nucleotides. RefSeq lists it as uncharacterized. NCBI's taxonomy places the organism in Eukaryota, Metazoa, Chordata, Actinopteri, Cypriniformes, Cyprinidae. The record is from RefSeq and is a predicted model, not a curated record. The transcript has 3 exons.
GGGCAGAACUGAUCUUAUUUAUUCAGAAUUGACUAGAUGUUGUAAAGCGGGGGUUACAUACCAGCACAGAGAGGAAUUUUUGACACCAGGAGUAAUAAAAGGAAAGUUGUUUCAGAGGUGGAACAAAAUAUUUGAAUUAAACAUUUUCUAAAUUAUUAUAUUAUAUUUUACAGUUUAUUUAAUGAUUUACUAUUUUUAAUCAUACAGAAUAAGACUAGGAGCAAUAACUCUGAACGUAAAUAGGAUCAGUUUUAGUUUCAUGUUUAUGUGAUCUGUACUUGUUGUCCAGUAGAUGGGGGUGAAAAUUAACUUUCAGUUUCGUUUCUGUCAUGUGCGCUAUCGCAAGCUUAUCAGUUGCCACAGCUGUAGUGAUAUGUUCACAUCUUGUUUCCAUGUAAUUUCAAACGCAGGACAUUCUCAUACUUAUUCUGUGUACAUGCACCAAUGUGACGAGUGGGGCAAGGCCAAGUGCCAUGGGAACGGAGCGAGGAAAUAUUGUUACAAACAAUAUUUUAGACCUACUAAGCAUUGAUUAUGGAACUUUAUUUUAGUACAGAUAAGUGUGGUAAUUUAUUUUUUUUUUUUUUUUGCUUUCACAGGGAUGGGAACAUUCAGUAAUAAUCUGUAAUGUUCUAGUGCAAAGACAGACGCCUUUGGUGCGAGAGACCGGGGUUCGAAUCCACUGUGAGACACCAAUGUGUCCCUGAGCAAGACACUUAACCCCUAGUUGCUUAAGAGGCGUGCGUCCUCUGAGAUAUAUAGCAAUUGAUUUACACAAGCUUCAGUCUGGAUCCAGAACACCUGAGAAGAGAUGAUGCCAACCCCUCAGAGGACCCCAGAUGAUGCCAACCCUGAAACAACAUAUAGAACUACUAAUUUUGCUAUAAGUUUGAUUACAUCAUAUAAUAAUUGCUGUUAAUUAUAGUGUGCAUCGUCUGUUCGAUUAUGUCUUUAUUUUUCCCCCAGACAUUUCUGCUAUAUGUACAUUAACUGACAGUUACUACUGAUAAGCUCUUGUCACAGUGUCAUCUGUGCUAUGUUUACUGUUGUGUGCGCGGUGAGUGGACGUGUCUGAAUAGCGUAACAAACUAUCAGUUCCAGCUGUGGCUCAUUUGCUUCCCUAUAUCAUGUAUACUUUUGUGUGGCUGCCCAUUCUCAUACCAGUGCUACCGAGAUCACCAGCCUGCGGUGAGCGCUGCUGUUGCUUGUUUGUACCUUGUGUUUGACUUUGUUCCUAUAAAUUGUAUGUUAAGCAUCUGCUCUUGAAUCCCAUCUCAUGAAUUGUGACACAACUACUAAAUAUUGUAGAAAAUUUGUUUCCUGUAAAGUUGCUUUGCAACGAGUUGUGUUGUGAAAAGCACUAUAGAAAUAAACUUGUAUUUAAUCUAAUUAAUGGCAUUUUGUAGAUAUAACUCUGAAGGAGAUAUUCUUGAGGUCAGGUCUGAUCAGACUGUUGAUGAAUCAAAUCAAAAGGUCUUAAUAUGGUCAAGAAACCUACUUGUUGAUUUAUUAGAGAUUUGGUCGUGUUGUGAAUUCAGAAACAAAUGUUUGUUUGUCAUUGCAGCCUAGACAAUGAACUUGCAAUCUUCUACAACUCUCUUCAUCUGCUUCAUCGUGCAAUGUAAAAAUUAGUUCAAUAAGUCAGAAAUAUGAGCAACUCAUUCAAAAGAGCAUGGUGCUCGUAGUCUCUAGGGCUGUAUUCCAUCUUUUUGGUUUAAUAAGCAUGUAAAUAGCUUGUAUCUUUCGUCAGUAUCUUUGUACUCUCUUCUGAACCCAUCUCACAUCUGCUUUCAUGAGAUAUGCACACCCUAUAAACUGCUCCCAGCCAACCGCCGAGUCUCUCCUACAAGCACUUAAAGAGAGUGUCUUCAACAAAUCUGAAGUGUGGCCAGUUAUUAAUCCAAGGACACCAACAAAUAUUAAUUUAGAUUUCAUUAUGUAUGCAGAUUUAGAUGUGGUGAGUAAAUAUACAUAUAUUCUAAUCAAAGUAUGCAAUCACAUUAUAUGUUCAUGUAUGUAACUGGCUAAACAGAAAUUGUGGAUGUUUUUCCCUUUCAGGAUGAAAAAGCUCAAAUCUUGGAUACGUUUAUCUGGCUGGGGGUGGAUGUGAAACAUGAAUGUGUUACAUGUCCACAGCAUAUAAUGUAAAAAAAAACUUCAUCAGCUCACUUUUUUCCAUAAGCAAUGAAAAAACAUGAAAACUUUAAUUUCUCCCCUUGAUUCAGUUGCUGGGUUCACGCAUGCACAAUGGUCUUUGGUCCGAGUCGAACUGUUUCCUCGGUUCAGUGACUGUUUAAAGACUUGGAGCUCUGAAUGAAUUUGCAAAAAACAGCAUCAUAGGAUCAGAUGGGCUGGUAUUUAGCUAACCUCGAGUUAGAGUGAAUGUAAAGUCAGAUCUGUGCAAGCCUUUUCAGAUACUUCAGUCCAAUUUGGUGAACACUCCAAUUUUUUUGUUCACUAAAAAGAACCCAUGCAAAAGAAUGAUUCUUUCACAAACUGUAUAUCUGACACUUUAGAUUAAUGUUGUAAAAAAUGUUCAGUUUAUUGCACAGACCAAACUUCACUUCGUAAGACCUCCGAAUAGCAUCAGGAGCCACACAUUUUUAUUUGGUCUUGCCAGUAUAUACACUGUUUGACGAUAGCCAUUGACAUUGACUGGCAUUUUAAGAAUCACCACAAAAUGUAAAAAAAGUAAAUCGUUUCUACUGUUCGACUGAAUAAAAAAAGUCACCUACAUUUUUGAUGUCCUGAGGGUGAGUAGAUUAAUGGUGCAGUAGGAGAUGUCGGAAAAUGCUAACUUUAGCCUGAUAGCACUGAAAGCCACGCCACCGAAUGCAUUUACUCACACAGAUCAGAAUAGAAUAUCAAAGACGGAUGUUACUACAAUCGGCUACAUUAGAUGUUCCCAAUUCUAGUCCAUGUUCUGGUGUUUUGUAGACUUCAAUGGAUUUCCCCUGCUCAGGGAGUAGGGAGGAAUGAACACUGUCUAGGGAUCAUAUUGAUCAGAACACAGUAUUUGCACCUAGCUCUCUUCUAAUGAGUUGGCUAUCGGAAACGUGUAUGUUAACUAAAAGAGACAAGCAAAAUUACAGAACAGGGAACGUGAGGACUGACAUUAGGAACCCCUGGGCUACAUUAUGUGUCAUUCACCAGCAAGAAAACUUUACAAGUAUUACAAUACCAGGAAGGAAGAUCGGGUUGUUGAUGUUUUUCUGCCAUUAUCGUUCUGUCGGCACAUGCACAGUGCAUGAAUGCGCUGAUGACCUAUUCUCUUUGUUCGAACAAAGUGCACAGAGGUAUGCAGAUACCACGCUGCUGUUCCGUCCACAAAAAGUUAGUGGAAGGGAUUUCAACCUCCGGAGAAAGAUUGCUUCAAAUCUUCCCUAUUUGUUCAUACUGCUUGUCAAGACGAUGGGGAAGUGAGCCUUAGGAAAAGAUCGCUACGGAGUCCACAUCCCACCGUUAGGGAGGUGACAUGCGGAGAUACUGAUAUGGACUGACCCAGGGGGCAGUACUACAUAUGGAAUGGGUCUCUGAGGCAGGUACUACCUUAGAGUAGGGAUGGAACAGCUGCCAGAAGAGACUGACAGAGCGGGUCCAGGGUACGCCAACCGCGGAACUCUAUUGGGAGAAGAAAGGCACUCACAUCCCCAUGUUAGGGGGAAUGGUGCAGCAAGCGUGACACCCAGCCAGCACUUCCCGCCAAUUACCUGUUACCCAACACACAAGAAGAAACUGGCUCUAGACGAAGGUGGUAAAACCUCAUGAAAGUAUUAGGUGUUUCCCAGCCCACAACUUGACAGAUGUCUGCCAGAGAGGUGCAUGUGGAGUGGGCCCUCACCCCCUGGGGGCACGGAUCGCCUUGGGAAUGGUACGUCAAGGCGAUGGCAUCCACUAACACGAAGUCUCGGUUAUUACUGCUGUGGCUUUGUUUGGAAACUGUAGAAAAUUACUUGUAUUCAAUAUAAUAUAUAUUAGUGAACUGAGAUUGAGAGUUCUAGGAUUGGUGCUAAACUGUGUAUGUAUUUGUCCAGGUGAACUGUAUGUAACGGGGACCAAAUGUCUCCACAAAGACAGGAAAACCUGAAAUGUUCGACCUUGUGGGGAGAUUUUUUGAUGAAUAAACGAAAUCAUCCAAAAAGGUGUCUGGUUGUUUUUUGUUUAUUUAUUUAUUUAUUUAUUUAUUAAAUGUAACUAACUGUCGUUACGAGAGAGUAAUUCAGUAAUUUAUACAAAUAACUCAUACAUGCAGAGCCGACCCAACUUCAUAAGAGAUAUAAGCGGUUGCAUAGGGCCCCAUGUCAGAGUUUAAAUAUUUGUCAGGGUUCAGACUGUAAUGCUUGAUUAUAAUAACUUUUAAAAAGUUUCAGUCGCAUGUGUUAAUGUUUGAAAAUCAAGAGGCAGCACUAUAAAUCUGAUGUAGAUUGGUUGGAAAAGAGAAUAGAAGUGACCAACAUUAAGGUAUGUGAUGUAUUUUGAAAAUUUAUUGUUGAAAUGGCUUCUGUUGCAUCAUGCUGCGAGCACUUUGAAGACGCGCUGUGCCAGUGUAACAACCGUUA